UGCCCCUCCUCCUGCCCACAAGCAGCACCAGCAGCAGGUGGUACAGGCCGUGGAGCGCGCCAAGCAGGUGACCAUGGCCGAGCUGAACGCCAUCAUCGGGCAGCAGCAGCUCCAGGCUCAGCACCUCUCUCACGGACACGCCCUGCCCGUGCCCCUCACCCCCCACCCCGCUGGCCUACAGCCGCCCACCCUCCCGCCCGUGGGAGGCAGUGCCAGCCUGCUUGCCCUCUCCAGUGCCCUCAGCGGCCACCCGCAGCUGCCAAUCAAAGAUGAGAAGAAACACCAUGACAAUGAACACCAAAGAGGUGAUGGCUCUUACUCGUGCUCCUUUCCACCCGCUACAUCCCCCAUCCCUACCUCUUCCUUCUCUAUUCCUCCAUUUCAUUCCUGUUCCUUCUCUAUCCUUCCCCCUGCCUCCCUAUUCUUGUACAUUUCUUCUCUUUCCUUCCCAUUGCUUCCUAUUUUUUCUUGUUCCUUCCCCCUUCCUUUCUGUUCCACCUGUCUUCCCUCUUCCUGUUUCUUUCUGUUUCCUUCUCUUUCCUCCCUUUUCCAUUCUGCAUCUUCAUGCUCUUCCUCUUUCUUACCAUUUCCUUUCUGUUCCUCAUCUUUCUCAUUAGUUCCUCUCACUGGCUUUGAUAAGAAACCAAGAUGUUUUGUUGACACUACAUGAGACCUAUUAGCUGUUUUUGGGAAAAGCCUUGGGUGAUUGGAGCAUACACGUGUCUUCCCGUGGUCUCGUGUCAGAGUCGAGCUUUGAGUAGCGGUUCACAACGGACCGGAGCUGGAGAUUAACGCGCUGUCCGCCACUUCUCAUUGCCCGACCACCGCCCCCCCCGUGUUUAAUCCCUCUCACACCAACUUCCUCCGAUAGCCUCGUCAUUCCCAUUGAGCUUGGGCAAAAAUCUUGAUGCUGAGAGAACACCUCCCUCCACUUCCAUCAUGGCUGCCUGCAAGAGGAAGUCUGGACUGAACUCGGUUUAUCGUAACAAAAAGAUGCGUAAGAUGUUCAUGGGUAAUAUGUAGCUGCCACACGCCACAGAAACAAUGCUCGGGCUAAAAAUAGUCCCUACUUUCUGUGCCACAAACUCCGUCUGGAGAUGAUUCUCUUUCCCGCCUCAGCCGGAACUGCGUCCUCCCUUUGUGUGUGUGCGCCAUUGUUUUUGUGGCAGGAGCUCAGCUCUUUUGCCAGUCACUCAGCAAGCAGAUGAGAAUCAAAGCGGCUGUGUGUGUGUGUGUGUGUGUGUGUGUGUGUGCGCGUGCAUGCGCGUGCGCGACGCUAAUUUGCCAUUCUGGUGUGGCGCGGAGCAUAGCGGGGCCUUUGUAGAGCCUCCGUCUCGCCUCAGCGGUUAAUUACCGCGGAAAUAAAAACCAAAGGAGAGGGAGCAGCCGGGCGUGAGAUCGAUCACGUAACGAGGAAGACGCAAAUUAAUGGUGGAGUGCAGAUGGUACAAUCGACUCUCAAAAAAAAAAAAAAAAAAAAAAAAA
Non-coding RNA from Paramormyrops kingsleyae, 1485 nucleotides. The record is from RefSeq and is a predicted model, not a curated record. Lineage: Eukaryota; Metazoa; Chordata; Actinopteri; Osteoglossiformes; Mormyridae.